AGGAGUGUUCAGAUGAACAUAAUGUGUGUGUGACUGCAGACACACAGUGUACAUACACACACACACACACCCACAUAUACACACACAUCAC
Molecule: microRNA precursor, 91 nt
Filed under: Poecilia formosa (Amazon molly)
Lineage: Eukaryota; Metazoa; Chordata; Actinopteri; Cyprinodontiformes; Poeciliidae
Description: miRNA (ENSPFOG00000021630.1)
Source: RNAcentral